Molecule: long non-coding RNA, 209 nt
Organism: Cygnus atratus (black swan)
Lineage: Eukaryota; Metazoa; Chordata; Aves; Anseriformes; Anatidae
Exons: 3
Source: RefSeq, a predicted model, not a curated record
CAGGAAAAGUAGAGGGAUUGAGCUCAACGCUUUAUUGUUGCCACAUUUUAGUGAGAUUAGAUUCAGAUGAAGAGAAGGCUAUUAACUGGAGAAACUCAUUCUGCUGCCAUUGAGAAGACGAAACACUUUCUCUGAGGAUGAAGAAUGCUAGUUUUUUCUCCUUGCUUCUGCUCUAAGGCCUGCGUGAGACAGAAUUAGCAAGGGGAGGG